Molecule: long non-coding RNA, 1357 nt
Filed under: Meleagris gallopavo (turkey)
Lineage: Eukaryota; Metazoa; Chordata; Aves; Galliformes; Phasianidae
Description: lncRNA (ENSMGAG00000022274.1)
Source: RNAcentral
UAGUAGGGGGCGUGGCUAGAGUUGAUGCAGGCAUCAAGGAUUGGUUGUGGGCGUGGCCUGGAGUUAUGUGGGCGUGGCUAAGGAUUGGUUGCGGGCAUGGCCUGUGGUUAUGUGGAUGUGGCUUUUUGUUGGGGGUGUGGCUUUUGUAGGGGGCGUGGCCUGGUGCAGGCACCAGGUGUUGGUUCUUGGUCGGAGUGGUUCUUGGUCGGAGGCGUGGCCUUCCGUUAUGUGGGCGUGGUCAGGGAGUCAGCUGUGGAAGUGGCUUCUUGUGGGGAGCGUGGCCUGUAGUUAAGUGGGCUGGCUUUUUGUAGGGGGGCGUGGCCUGAGAUGACGCAGACACCAGGGAUUGGUUGUGGGCGUGGCCAAGGGUUAUGUGGGCGUGGCCAUGGAGCGGUUGUGGGCGUGGCUUCGGUCACAGCCCGCAGAAAUCAAACUCCUCCUUCCAGGAAUUCGGAGUCAUGUUCAUUAGAUUUCAUUUGCAUGCAGACCCUCCCCCUCACGCCUGAGCGGUGGGAGGCGGGGGGUCUCCUCCUGGUGGUCGCGGGAUGAAGAAUCGCGGUCUUCCUCGCCGUGAUCUCCUGACCCUGCAGGAGGGGCAGCCCCCCACCCACGUUUUAUCGCCCCCUGCUGACGCCCUCGGGCUGUUCUCCAACUCCUGACGUUCCCUUCCCCUCCUUCUCUCAGCCCCAGUGCCUGCAGUCCCCAUUCUUCUAACAGCUCUGCACGUUUGCUUCUGUUAACUUAUCAUCUCCAGUUCCUGUGAAGCCCUUUCCUCGUCCUUUACUGUGGGGCCCUUCUCUCAUCCUGCACUCUGGUCCCCCCUUCUCUGGUUCCCCUCUCCAUGGUUUCUGUCCCCUCUGGUUUUCCUCUCUCUGGUUCCCAUCUCCAUGGUUCCCUUCUCUAUGGUUCCAGUCUCUAUGGGUUCCCCUCUCCAUGGUUCCCUUCUCUAUGGGUUCCCCUCUCCAUGGUUCCCUUCUCUAUGGGUUCUCCUCUCCAUGGUUCCCUUCUCUAUGGUUCCAGUCUCUAUGGAUUCCCUUCUCCAUGGUUCCCUUCUCUAUGGGUUCCCAUCUCCAAGGUUCCCUUCUCUAUGGUUCCAGACUCUAUGGGUUCCCCUCUCCAUGGUUCCCUUCUCCGUGGUUCCAGUUUCUAUGGGUUCCCAUCUCCAUGGUCCCCAUCUCCGUGGUUCUGCUCUCUCUGGUUCCCAUCUCCAAGGGUUCCCAUUUCCAUGGUUCCCUUCCCUAUGGUUCCCAUCUCCGUGGUUUCUGUCUCCAUGGUUCUCCUCUGUGGUUCCCCUCUCUCUGGUUCCCCUUUCUAUGGUUCCCAUCUCUCUGGUUCCAAUUUCCAUGAGUUCCCAUCU